CUGCACAAGAAAGAAGGCAUACGGAGAUACGGUAUGAAAUAUACAUGAAGGCCAACUACCAUAGAAACAAUUACAUAUUCUUUCCCUGAUACUCUGAGAGCAUAAGCUAUUCGGCUCAGAAAAGAACAAUGAAAGUAGGCAGUGGCGGAGCCAGCGCCCGACCACCCCGGGCACUUGCCCAGGCUCGAUGGCUGUGAGACAGCUUACAUACAUGAUAAACAGUGGGCAGAUUCUACCGUGCGUCUUGGUUUACCUGGGCAACAUCCAUGCACGUAUGAUUCUCAAACAAAAGGUUGAUGCAUGUAUGUGAUAAACAAUGAGCUACUUAAUUAGGCCUACUAUAAGCAUCUGACCAAUACUCAACCUCCUCUGUUUUUAAAUAUAAGAUCUUUUAAAGAUUUUACUACAGAGUACGUAUGAAACAAAAUAAAUAAAUAAAUAUUUUAAAAUAUAUCUACAUACAUCCUUAUAUAGACUGUUCCUACAUAACUAGUUCUUCCAAAAUAACUAGUUCCUACAUUUCGAUAUGCAAAGUCAAAGAUGCAUUAUUACAGGGAGUAAUCGAUCAUAUAUACUGCUCUCUGGUAUGAAGAUUAAACAAGACAUGGCAAGCUUGCAAACUACCUUCACCGUUACUGUUAAAGGAGUUCCACCUCAUUCGAUCUGCAAAUUUAUCUCCUUGUCAACGCUCUCGUCAAGCAAGGACUCCAUAGUGAGAAAUUUUGUUACAACCUAUAAAUAGUUAAGAACAUCGUUGAAUAAGAAAUUAAUGUGGUAUGUCAAAUUAAAAUAACAUGGAAAAUGCAUCAGUGAAAAGAAAUAUAGUGAACAACAAGAUGCCAAGUUUAUACAACAUGACGAUUUUAACACUAGGAGUAUUUUAAAAAUACUCCAGCAAGGAAUAAUGCAUAAAUUUGGAGUAUGGAGUAAAUGAGAGUACUUCAGAAAAUAUGGAGUAAUGCAUAAAUUUGUACUCUAGCAAGUUUACUGCAUACUCAAGAUAAAUUCAGUUUACUCUUAAAUGACAGUAACUCAGUUUAUUGUUAAAUGACAAUACUCCAGAAAGGAGUGAUUCAGUACUUUGAUUACCUUGGACUAACACUGAUCAUGCAAACAUCAACACCCAUUGUUGAAAACAGCAAUCCAAUUAUUUGUCCUUUUCCAUCGGUAAGCAAGUACAGGCCCUGAACCCAGUUACACUUGGGGUUAUCUAGCUGAUGGAUAAGUUGAUCAGCCUCACAUUUCACUUUCUUCCUCCUUUGCUAUGGACUUGGGUAAUCUAGCAGAUUUCUAUGCAUUGUUGGUUGGUGCGAAAAAUAACUAACCCAACAAAGUCUCAUGUGGCUCUAGAUUAGCAGUAAGUCUGUCAAAAUGUUGGUCAAGAUGGCAAGAUUUUGUGAAAGGAAGUUGGCACAUAUAUCAUGUGAAUAACUACAGAAGGAAGUUAAUUUUUUCUUAGAAAACAUAGAAGAAAGUGAGAAGCAGGACGAACGGAUAAACUGCAUUUGAUAGGGAUGACAGUAAAUUCAGUUAACUAUUGUGUCAAAAUUCAGUUAACCGACUUUUAGACUGAAAUUUUAAACUUGCUUGCAAUAAGCAGUACACUUUAUAUUCAGAGCAGGAUACAAAACUGAUUUUUUAGCAAAAUAACUAAAUCUGUUGAGAAAGAUUCAGUUUGACAAAAUUUUACACUAAAUUUUUAUCGUUGAGAUGAUUGCACAGUGGUUGUCAGAGAUAUCUCUUGCUGCAAAAUCCUGCUCUAAGUUUGACAAAAUUCAGCUGCAAUUUCAGAGAACCAGCACACAAAAUUACAAAAAC
RNAcentral lists this long non-coding RNA (1818 nucleotides) under Hordeum vulgare. Its description in RNAcentral is "long non-coding RNA (HVUL_LNC008560)". The record is from RNAcentral. Lineage: Eukaryota; Viridiplantae; Streptophyta; Magnoliopsida; Poales; Poaceae.